Molecule: ribosomal RNA, 699 nt
Filed under: Triticum aestivum (bread wheat)
Lineage: Eukaryota; Viridiplantae; Streptophyta; Magnoliopsida; Poales; Poaceae
Description: partial small subunit ribosomal RNA
Source: RNAcentral
AUGUCGUCGGAAUCGGAUGAUGCUAGUGCGCCGGAGUGGGGAUCGGAGGAUGAGGAUGACGAUGACGAGAUAGCUGCACAGGGGGCAGCCGCAGCGACUUUGGCGGCGGGGUUACCGAUCAAGCUCGUGAUCGACACCAAGACUCAGAAGGUGCGGUUCGCCGAGGCCGGAAGCGACGUCGUGGAGUUCCUCACCGGCCUCCUGUCCCUGCCGCUGGGCACCGUCGUCGACCUGCUGACCAAGGAGCGCAUGGUCGGCAGCAUCGGCAACGUCCCCGGCAGCGUGGAGAAGAUGGACGCCGGCUACAAGGGCAAGGAGCGGCGCCUCAGCCCGGCCGUCACCCCCGCCGCGCUCUCCCGCCUGCAGCAGCUGCUGAGCGCGCACCUCAUCAACGGCCGAACCUGCUGCCAUUGCACCAGUUCCACGUACAAUGCUGCCGCCGCGGGAACAUCCACGACGCCGUCGCUACCCACGGCCACGUACACUGUCGGGGACGACCUCUCGGUGACUCCGGCUUCUUUUUUCACGACCAUGUCGCUUCUGGGCAUCGCGCAGUUCGCACAAUUUGGUGGCGAGGACCUCAGCACGCUGCAGGAGAAAACCGUGAAGAUCGGCAAGGAAGAGGCGCUGAGGAUACUCGCUGCUUCCCUCCAGUCCAAGACCGUGCUGACGGAUGUCUUCCUCAAGAGUCAAGAGUGA